GAAACUUAAAGGAAUUGACGGGGCCCGCACAAGCGGUGGAGCAUGUGGUUAAUUCGAAGCAACGCGAAGAACCUUACCAGGCCUUGACAUGCAGAGAACUUUCCAGAGAUGGAUUGGUGCCUUCGGGAACUCUGACACAGGUGCUGCAGUGGCUGUCGUCAGCUCGUGUCGUGAGAUGUUGGGUUAAGUCCCGUAACGAGCGCAACCCUUGUCCUUAGUUACCAGCACGUUAUGGUGGGCACUCUAAGGAGACUGCCGGUGACAAACCGGAGGAAGGUGGGGAUGACGUCAAGUCAUCAUGGCCCUUACGGCCUGGGCUACACACGUGCUACAAUGGUCGGUACAAAGGGUUGCCAAGCCGCGAGGUGGAGCUAAUCCCAUAAAACCGAUCGUAGUCCGGAUCGCAGUCUGCAACUCGACUGCGUGAAGUCGGAAUCGCUAGUAAUCGUGAAUCAGAAUGUCACGGUGAAUACGUUCCCGGGCCUU
This 486-nucleotide ribosomal RNA is filed under the name uncultured Pseudomonas sp. RNAcentral's name for it is "bacterial SSU rRNA". It matches the Rfam family "Bacterial small subunit ribosomal RNA", at positions 896 to 1382 of the family's 1533-position model. The record is from RNAcentral. Lineage: Bacteria; Pseudomonadati; Pseudomonadota; Gammaproteobacteria; Pseudomonadales; Pseudomonadaceae.